This 363-nucleotide long non-coding RNA is filed under the name Cyanistes caeruleus (blue tit). Its description in RNAcentral is "lncRNA (ENSCCEG00000021329.1)". The record is from RNAcentral. Lineage: Eukaryota; Metazoa; Chordata; Aves; Passeriformes; Paridae.
GCUAUACACAGUGUUGGGUAGCAGCAAACAUGCAGCCACUUUGAUGGACAAGACUGUUGAAACCUGACCAUGCUCCUGAAGCUGGCUGGAGCAGAUUUAGAUAGAACCAGAAAAACACUGCAGAGAAUCUCACCUACUGUGUUCCAUCACUGAAACAAGAGCAGUGUAUCUCCAUUUUGCACAUCUUCAUAGGAAUUUGCGAAAUGAGGUUACAGCUGUAACAUGGAGAAGCUUAUAUGGUGAUCAGAACCCUGAAGUAGAAGAUUUAAUGAAUUGAAGAUUUUUACGAAACUCUUUUCCUCUAGAAGGACAAUUUUUAUUAAAAACCCUAUUCUAGCUCUCCCAACAGGUAAGUAGCGUAAC